Molecule: ribosomal RNA, 467 nt
Filed under: uncultured Anoxybacillus sp.
Lineage: Bacteria; Bacillati; Bacillota; Bacilli; Caryophanales; Anoxybacillaceae
Description: bacterial SSU rRNA
Rfam family: Bacterial small subunit ribosomal RNA
Source: RNAcentral
CGGGGCCCGCACAAGCGGUGGAGCAUGUGGUUUAAUUCGAAGCAACGCGAAGAACCUUACCAGGUCUUGACAUCCCUGACAACCCGAGAGAUCGGGCGUUCCCCUUCGGGGGACAGGGUGACAGGUGGUGCAUGGUUGUCGUCAGCUCGUGUCGUGAGAUGUUGGGUUAAGUCCCGCAACGAGCGCAACCCUCGACCUUAGUUGCCAGCAUUCAGUUGGGCACUCUAAGGUGACUGCCGGCUAAAAGUCGGAGGAAGGUGGGGAUGACGUCAAAUCAUCAUGCCCCUUAUGACCUGGGCUACACACGUGCUACAAUGGUUGGUACAACGAGUUGCGAGUCGGUGACGGCGAGCUAAUCUCUUAAAGCCAAUCUCAGUUCGGAUUGUAGGCUGCAACUCGCCUACAUGAAGUCGGAAUCGCUAGUAAUCGCGGAUCAGCACGCCGCGGUGAAUACGUUCCCGGGCCUU